GUGGGGAAUAUUGCACAAUGGAGGAAACUCUGAUGCAGCGACGCCGCGUGAGCGAAGAAGUAUCUCGGUAUGUAAAGCUCUAUCAGCAGGGAAGAAAAAAUGACGGUACCUGACUAAGAAGCCCCGGCUAACUACGUGCCAGCAGCCGCGGUAAUACGUAGGGGGCAAGCGUUAUCCGGAUUUACUGGGUGUAAAGGGAGCGCAGGCGGAAGGCUAAGUCUGAUGUGAAAACCCGGGGCUCAACCCCGGGACUGCAUUGGAAACUGGUCAUCUGGAGUGUCGGAGAGGUAAGUGGAAUUCCUAGUGUAGCGGUGAAAUGCGUAGAUAUUAGGAGGAACACCAGUGGCGAAGGCGGCUUACUGGACGACAACUGACGCUGAGGCUCGAAAGCGUGGGGAGCAAACAGGAUUAGAAACCCUAGUAGUCC
This 427-nucleotide ribosomal RNA is filed under the name uncultured bacterium. RNAcentral describes it as "bacterial SSU rRNA". It matches the Rfam family "Bacterial small subunit ribosomal RNA", at positions 354 to 796 of the family's 1533-position model. The record is from RNAcentral.